Molecule: ribosomal RNA, 454 nt
Filed under: uncultured bacterium
Lineage: Bacteria
Description: bacterial SSU rRNA
Rfam family: Bacterial small subunit ribosomal RNA
Source: RNAcentral
UACGGAAGGCAGCAGUGGGGAAUAUUGCACAAUGGGCGCAAGCCUGAUGCAGCCAUGCCGCGUGUAUGAAAAAGGCCUUCGGGUUGUAAAGUACUUUCAGUCGUGAGGAAGGUGUUAAGGUUAAUAACCUUAGCAAUUGACGUUAGCGACAGAAGAAGCACCGGCUAACUCCGUGCCAGCAGCCGCGGUAAUACGGAGGGUGCGAGCGUUAAUCGGAAUUACUGGGCGUAAAGGGCACGCAGGCGGUUAAUUAAGUUGGAUGUGAAAUCCCCGGGCUUAACCUGGGAAUGGCAUUCAAGACUGGUUAGCUAGAGUCUUGUAGAGGGGGUAGAAUUCCAUGUGUAGCGGUGAAAUGCGUAGAGAUGUGGAGGAGUACCGGUGGCGAAGGCGGCCCCUGGACAAAGACUGACGCUCAUGUGCGAAAGCGUGGGGAGCGAAACAGGGAUUAGAUACC